This 456-nucleotide ribosomal RNA is filed under the name uncultured bacterium. RNAcentral's name for it is "bacterial SSU rRNA". It matches the Rfam family "Bacterial small subunit ribosomal RNA", at positions 108 to 562 of the family's 1533-position model. The record is from RNAcentral.
GCGUAACGCGUAUGCAAUCUACCUUUUGCAGAGGGAUAGCCCAGAGAAAUUUGGAUUAAUACCUCAUAGUAUCUCGUUGUUGCAUGACAACAAGAUUAAAGUCACAACGGCAAAAGAUGAGCAUGCGUCCCAUUAGCUAGUUGGUAAGGUAACGGCUUACCAAGGCUACGAUGGGUAGGGGUCCUGAGAGGGAGAUCCCCCACACUGGUACUGAGACACGGACCAGACUCCUACGGGAGGCAGCAGUGAGGAAUAUUGGUCAAUGGGCGCAAGCCUGAACCAGCCAUGCCGCGUGCAGGAUGACGGUCCUAUGGAUUGUAAACUGCUUUUGUACGAGAAGAAACACUACUUCGUGAAGUAGCUUGACGGUAUCGUAAGAAUAAGGAUCGGCUAACUCCGUGCCAGCAGCCGCGGUAAUACGGAGGAUCCAAGCGUUAUCCGGAAUCAUUGGGUUUA